UGGGUAGUAGGUCAGUGGUAGAGCGCUUGCUUAGUAUGCAAGAGGCUCUGGGUUCAAUCACCAGCACUACAA
Molecule: transfer RNA, 72 nt
Filed under: Heterocephalus glaber (naked mole-rat)
Lineage: Eukaryota; Metazoa; Chordata; Mammalia; Rodentia; Bathyergidae
Rfam family: tRNA
About the family: Transfer RNA (tRNA) molecules are approximately 80 nucleotides in length. Their secondary structure includes four short double-helical elements and three loops (D, anti-codon, and T loops). Further hydrogen bonds mediate the characteristic L-shaped molecular structure. tRNAs have two regions of fundamental functional importance: the anti-codon, which is responsible for specific mRNA codon recognition, and the 3' end, to which the tRNAs corresponding amino acid is attached (by aminoacyl-tRNA synthetases). tRNAs cope with the degeneracy of the genetic code in two manners: having more than one tRNA (with a specific anti-codon) for a particular amino acid; and 'wobble' base-pairing, i.e. permitting non-standard base-pairing at the 3rd anti-codon position.
Source: Rfam by way of RNAcentral